This 307-nucleotide long non-coding RNA is filed under the name Homo sapiens (human). RNAcentral's name for it is "non-protein coding lnc-TCEAL3-1:4". The record is from RNAcentral. Lineage: Eukaryota; Metazoa; Chordata; Mammalia; Primates; Hominidae.
AAAGAACCAGAAUAGAAGCUGUGGCAAUUUUAAGCUGUCAAGGAUGAAAGGUCUCGAACUGAAUGAUUACCAAUUUAGAUCUGGGGGCUCAAAAAAACAAAAUGUGAUGUCAAGAAAAAGUGAAAGAUUGUCUCCCAUGAAAGUGACAAGAGAUGAAACAUGCUGAAUGAGCCUAAAUGGACAUGAUGGAGAUACGGAUGUGGAUUAAAACUGAGAGUGUUGGGAUAUAAGGAUAUAAUACUGAUUUAUGAAGGUGAACAGUCAAACGUCAGUGCAGGAUCUGAACUGCAGGGGAAAUAAGGGGCCU